GUGAGGUAACGGCUCGCCAAGGCGACGACGGGUAGCUGGUCUGAGAGGACGAUCAGCCACACUGGAACUGAGACACGGUCCAGACUCCUACGGGAGGCAGCAGGAGGGAAUAUUGCGCAAUGGGCGAAAGCCUGACGCAGCAACGCCGCGUGAGGGAUGACUGCCUUCGGGUUGUAAACCUCUUUCAGUGGGGACGAAAUUGACGGUACCCACAGAAGAAGCACCGGCCAACUACGUGCCAGCAGCCGCGGUAAUACGUAGGGUGCAAGCAUUGUCCGGAUUUAUUGGGCGUAAAGAGCUCGUAGGCGGCUUAACAAGUCGGCCGUGAAAUACCGAGGCUCAACCUCGGGGAGUCGGUCGAAACUGUUAUAGCUAGAGUACGGUAGAGGAGAGUGGAAUUCUCGGUGUAGCGGUGGAAUGCGCAGAUAUCGAGAGGAACACCAGUAGCGAAGGCGGCUCUCUGGGCCGUUACUGACGCUGAGGAGCGAAAGCGUGGGGAGCAAACAGGAUUAGAUACCCUGGUAGUCCACGCUGUAAACGUUGGGAACUAGGUGUUGCGGUCUGAUCAAUGACUGCGGUGCCGAAGCUAACGCAUUAAGUU
Molecule: ribosomal RNA, 601 nt
Filed under: uncultured Actinomycetes bacterium
Lineage: Bacteria; Bacillati; Actinomycetota; Actinomycetes
Description: bacterial SSU rRNA
Rfam family: Bacterial small subunit ribosomal RNA
Source: RNAcentral